Non-coding RNA from Pelobates cultripes (western spadefoot toad), 368 nucleotides. The record is from the annotation of a GenBank genome assembly. NCBI's taxonomy places the organism in Eukaryota, Metazoa, Chordata, Amphibia, Anura, Pelobatidae.
CACGAUUGGGAUUAAGACCAGGACAAACCCAUGCCCCUCCAUGCCGGUCAGAACGGCUCAGACGACUAUAGUGACCAACGGAGCAGGUCUUUCAGGAUUCACAACCUUACCAUGGGCGAUGCUGGACGCCGCCAAACAUCGUCCGGGAACGGGCAUACAACUUGGGUAUAUGGACUCAAACUGUUUCUGCUCCUCGCAGGAAACCCCAGUGUUGGCCUCUCCCAUAGGAUGCCCAUAGCAGCACUCCUCCGCACUGACGGAUGGUUGGCGGUACUGGUCGCCAAGAUAGUCGGAACCCAAGCACAAGGCACAAAGUUCCGAAGGGAACUUAUUAGACACGCAAGGGUCCCAUGGCUUUCAUAAGGGCC